This 314-nucleotide ribosomal RNA is filed under the name uncultured Enterobacteriaceae bacterium. Its description in RNAcentral is "bacterial SSU rRNA". It matches the Rfam family "Bacterial small subunit ribosomal RNA", at positions 355 to 660 of the family's 1533-position model. Lineage: Bacteria; Pseudomonadati; Pseudomonadota; Gammaproteobacteria; Enterobacterales; Enterobacteriaceae. The record is from RNAcentral.
UGGGGAAUAUUGCACAAUGGGCGCAAGCCUGAUGCAGCCAUGCCGCGUGUAUGAAGAAGGCCUUCGGGUUGUAAAGUACUUUCAGCGAGGAGGAAGGCGUUAAGGUUAAUAACCUUGGCGAUUGACGUUACUCGCAGAAGAAGCACCGGCUAACUCCGUGCCAGCAGCCGCGGUAAUACGGAGGGUGCAAGCGUUAAUCGGAAUUACUGGGCGUAAAGCGCACGCAGGCGGUCUGUCAAGUCGGAUGUGAAAUCCCCCGGGCUCAACCUGGGAACUGCAUCCGAAACUGGCAGGCUAGAGUCUUGUAGAGGGGU